Molecule: ribosomal RNA, 301 nt
Filed under: uncultured bacterium
Lineage: Bacteria
Description: partial 16S ribosomal RNA
Rfam family: Bacterial small subunit ribosomal RNA
Source: RNAcentral
CAGUCGCCGCGGUAAUACGUAGGUGGCAAGCGUUGUCCGGAAUUAUUGGGCGUAAAGGGCUCGCAGGCGGUUUCUUAAGUCUGAUGUGAAAGCCCUCGGCUCAACCGGGGAGGGUCAUUGGAAACUGGGAAACUUGAGUGCAGAAGAGGAGAGUGGAAUUCCACGUGUAGCGGUGAAAUGCGUAGAGAUGUGGAGGAACACCAGUGGCGAAGGCGACUCUCUGGUCUGUAACUGACGCUGAGGAGCGAAAGCGUGGGGAGCGAACAGGAUUAGAUACCCCGGUAGUCCCUGUCUCUUAUAC